RNAcentral lists this transfer RNA (82 nucleotides) under Armatimonadota bacterium. Its description in RNAcentral is "tRNA-Leu". It matches the Rfam family "tRNA". From Rfam's summary of the family: Transfer RNA (tRNA) molecules are approximately 80 nucleotides in length. Their secondary structure includes four short double-helical elements and three loops (D, anti-codon, and T loops). The record is from RNAcentral. Lineage: Bacteria; Bacillati; Armatimonadota.
GUCCCAAUGGCGGAAUGGCAGACGCGGCCGUUUCAAGAACGGCUUCUUCGGAGUGGGGGUUCGAGUCCCUCUUGGGAUACCA